UCCAAACACGCCUUAAAAGAAAGAACAAGUAUCACAACCAGAUUUGAUGGCAAAUGAAUUCCUACUCAAAAAGAUUAUGCGGAAUCCCGAGAAUAUAUGAGUUAUCUACAAAAUCAACAAAAGAAAAUAGAUGAGUCAGCAGGUUCCUCAUCGGAUUUCACUUUUGAUCCAUUCGGUGGGUCAUGCGCAUAAAAUCCGAAUAACGUCUAAACAAAAGGUAUUGGUCAAUUUCAAAAAAAGAUAAGAUGCAAUCUCCAAAACACCAAUCAAAAGAACAUAAGAAUGUCGGCAUGCAAAAUCAAAUGAACCUGACAUGCAAGUGUCGAUUUAAUGAAAUUCAAAUAUAAUAUUCUGAUAACUAUAAAUAACCCUCAAAAAGAGAAAGGAGGAGCAUCGAGUAUUUAAGAAAGAAAGUGUUUUAAAACCACCUCCCAAAAAAAAACCACCUUUGUGCUCAAAUUCAUAUGGAUAGCAAUUUUUUUCAGAGUUUUGAAAAUUUUUGUAAAAAAAAAUUACUAUAGCAUUUUUUCGAGACGUAUUGUAUGUGAGAUGAAAAAAAAGUCAAGCAAUAAGUUAAAAAAAUAGUUUCAAAAAAUCUAAAAAUAGAAAAUUCCAAGAAGAUACAAACCAAACAAGGCCUGAUCUUGCACUUACUAUUAGAUAUGAUAAUGUCUUCACCCAAUCCAUUUUUUUUAUCAUACACAGACAGAUAAAUAAAUAAAAUAACUAAACUAGAGGAUGACUCUAUAAGAAGUUUUUGACAAGAAGGCAUAACGGUAAAAAGAUAAAAUUGAAGCCAACUUUGCAAUAAGUCAAAGCUUAACACUAGCAAAAGGCUAGGCAUUUUUCAUUUGUUUGAAUCAUGGGAGAAGCCGUAGCAAUUUGUUAAAAGUCUAAAAUGGACGAGACGACAUUGAGCAAAUGAAGAAAAUGAUAGUGUUGCAACAUUUCCAUAUCAAAAAAUUGCAUAUAGUUGACAUUUAGCUCAAAUCACAAUAGAGAAGUAUGUUUUUACAUUUUGUCAUGGAUGAUGUAUGUGAGAAAAUCAAAACCCCUAUAUUUUCUAUUUCUUUCUUUUUUUUUGUUGAAAAUUCUAAGCCCUUAAUUUUCAAAUGCGAAAUCAUGGUCCUAUCAUUUUUUUUCCCUUUUUUUGAAAAGAAAUUAUGGUCCAAUCUAACAGGAAAUUUCCUCAAGUGCAUCAUCUUUAAUGUCGAAGCUUUAAAAAUUUAAGCUUCUGGAAUAGUUGUAACUGUCAAUGACGUGCCAAAUUAAUCUCAUCCUAAUUAAAAAAAAAAAAAACAAAUUAAUCAUCUUACUCAAUUGAGUUUAUUUUUAGCACACACAAAAAUAUAUAUAUAUAUAUAUAUAUAUAUUAAACAAUAAUGUCACAACCACCAACCCCCACCUCCCCAUUUAUACCACCCUUGCUGACCAGCCCAUCCUUCCCCUCAUUAUUUUCAUCCCUCUAUCCUCUUCUCUAUCUACUACUGCUAUAGAGCAACAGAAUUCUCCUCCAGAACUUCUCCAUAAUUCCAGCAAGAAUCGCUCUUACAGAAUCUUAGGAAGCUACAGAAAGAAACCAAAGAUGCAGAGAAUUACUCAAGAGUUCGAAAAGCACCUGAAGCUCAACGAAGACGAUGGUAAAGAAAACGAACAAGAAAUAGAAUCCCACGGUGAAGAUUACGAUGAUGAUGAAGACGAAGAUGAUUUUUCUUUUGCAUUCAAUGGCGUAAAUUUCUCAGCUGAGGACGCGUUUGAUAACGGUCAGAUCAGGCCGGUUUACCCCUUGUUCAACCGGGAUAUUCUGUUGGGUGGUGGUGUUGGUGACGGGCAGGAUUUGGAGACUUUAAGGUUGAAAGAUAGUUUGCCCUAUGUUAAAAACGUGUUUGUAGAAGCUGAGGAUUGGAUGAAAUCUCAAUCUUUAUUUUUGAUCAGUACCUUUGUUUAAAGAAAUAGUGAACUACUGAUCCUGGCGAGAGCAAAGAAGCAUUUACUUUUCGUCCAAGGAUGGGUUAGGCAGGCCCGUGAAAUACUGGUACAAAUACUGUAGGUGUAGGACUGAAUCUUGGGAAAUAAGACAUCUUACUUAGACUGAUCUGGAUUCUGAAAUAUGGAUAACCUACACCUGGAAUUGGUCGGCCUGAGUUGUGGAUUGACUUUAUUCUGGUUCGGUAAACUAGGUUGCCAUAUGAUUGUCGGAGAGAAUUUUGAGUGAGCGAGACCGUUAGAUUUGGCACUAAUAAGGUGAUAAUCUAGGAUCUGAAGUGAUUUUGGUCAACUUGAGUAUUGUUUCAUUGUCACAAGGGCUGACAUAUGAAAAGAUGUCUGAUGUGAAGAUGGGAAUUGAUUUCAGACUGUAGUGAUAGGAUUGUUCAAUGCGAGAUGUGUUUUGAAAUGGAUCAAAAUGUUGCUUAGUAAGCUUUUAUUUUCCUUCCAUUAUCUAGGGCACUUCAUGUAGCAAUUUUAAAUUGUGUUAGUAACUACCAUAUAAAUAAAUAAAUACAAAAAAAACCUCACCAAAAUUUAUAAUAAGAUUCUUUUGGAAAUAUUUUGAAAGUGAA
RNAcentral lists this long non-coding RNA (2561 nucleotides) under Coffea arabica (coffee). RNAcentral describes it as "long non-coding RNA (CARA_LNC003007)". The record is from RNAcentral. Lineage: Eukaryota; Viridiplantae; Streptophyta; Magnoliopsida; Gentianales; Rubiaceae.